UAGGGAAUAUUGGACAAUGGGCGAAAGCCUGAUCCAGCAACGCCGCGUGUGCGAUGACGGCCUUCGGGUUGUAAAGCACUUUUAGAGGAGAUGAGAAAGGACAGUAUCCUCUGAAUAGGCCUCGGCGAACUACGUGCCAGCAGCCGCGGUAAAACGUAGGAGGCUAGCGUUAUCCGGAUUUAUUGGGCGUAAAGCGCGUGCAGGCGGUUUAUCAAGUUGGUUGUGAAAGCUCCUGGCUUAACUGGGAGAGGUCGAUCAAAACUGAUAGACUAGAGAAUGGUAGAGGGAGGUGGAAUUCCGGGUGUAGUGGUGAAAUGCGUAGAUAUCCGGAGGAACACCAGUGGCGAAAGCGGCCUCCUGGGCCAUUUCUGACGCUAAGACGCGAAAGCUAGGGUAGCAAACGG
RNAcentral lists this ribosomal RNA (404 nucleotides) under uncultured bacterium. Its description in RNAcentral is "bacterial SSU rRNA". It matches the Rfam family "Bacterial small subunit ribosomal RNA", at positions 355 to 775 of the family's 1533-position model. The record is from RNAcentral.